Molecule: long non-coding RNA, 652 nt
Organism: Oncorhynchus tshawytscha (Chinook salmon)
Lineage: Eukaryota; Metazoa; Chordata; Actinopteri; Salmoniformes; Salmonidae
Source: Ensembl
UAUAGCUCUAAUAGAGAUGUUUCUAUAGUUCUAAUAGAGAAGUUUCUAUAGUUCUAAUAGAGAUAUGUUUCUAUAGUUCCAAUAGAGAUAUGUUUCUAUAGUUCUAAUAGAGAUAUGUUUCUAUAGCUCUAAUAGAGAUGUUUCUAUAGUUCUAAUAGAGAUGUUAUGUUUCUAUAGUUCUAAUAGAGAUGUUUCUAUAGUUCUAAUAGAGAUAUGUUUCUAUAGCUCUAAUAGAGAUGUUAUGUUUCUAUAGUUCUAAUAGAGAUGUUAUGUUUUUAUAGUUCUAAGAGAUAUUAUGUUUCUAUAGUUCUAAUAGAGAUAUGUUUCUAUAGCUCUAAUAGAGAUGUUUCUAUAGCUCUAAUAGAGAUAUGUUUCUAUAGCUCUAAUAGAGAUGUUUCUAUAGCUCUAAUAGAGAUGUUUCUAUAGUUCUAAUAGAGAUGUUAUGUUUCUAUAGUUCUAAGAGAUAUUGUUUCUAUAGUUCUAAUAGAGAUGUUAUGUUUCUAUAGUUCUAAUAGAGAUGUUAUGUUUCUAUAGCUCUAAUAGAGAUGUUAUGUUUCUAUAGUUCUAAUAGAGAUGUUGUGUUUCUGUAGUUCUAAUAGAGAUAUGUUUCUAUAGUUCUAAUAGAGAUGUUUCUAUAGCUCUAAUAGAGAUG